RNAcentral lists this ribosomal RNA (460 nucleotides) under uncultured bacterium. RNAcentral's name for it is "partial 16S ribosomal RNA". It matches the Rfam family "Bacterial small subunit ribosomal RNA", at positions 338 to 795 of the family's 1533-position model. The record is from RNAcentral.
CCUACGGGAGGCAGCAGUGAGGAAUAUUGGUCAAUGGACGAGAGUCUGAACCAGCCAAGCAGCGUGAAGGCUGACUGCCCUAUGGGUUGUAAACUUCUUUUACAUGGGAAUAAAAUGUUCCACGUGUGGGAUUUUGUAUGUACCAUAUGAAUAAGGAUCGGCUAACUCCGUGCCAGCAGCCGCGGUAAUACGGAGGAUCCGAGCGUUAUCCGGAUUUAUUGGGUUUAAAGGGAGCGUAGGUGGCUUGUUAAGUCAGUUGUGAAAGUUUGGGGCUCAACCGUAGAAUUGCAGUUGAAACUGGCAGUCUUGAGUACAGUAGAGGUGGGCGGAAUUCGUGGUGUAGCGGUGAAAUGCUUAGAUAUCACGAAGAACGCCGAUUGCGAAGGCAGUUCACUGGACUGCAACUGACACUGAGGCUCGAAAGUGUGGGUAUCAAACAGGAUUAGAUACCCGGGUAGUC